RNAcentral lists this long non-coding RNA (1058 nucleotides) under Oryctolagus cuniculus (rabbit). RNAcentral's name for it is "lncRNA (ENSOCUG00000035873.1)". The record is from RNAcentral. Lineage: Eukaryota; Metazoa; Chordata; Mammalia; Lagomorpha; Leporidae.
CUAAAUCUACUUUUUCUAAACAUUUAAUAUUAAAUGAAAGAGAACUAUUGCCAUUGACUCAUUUAGAAAUGAAUUUAUACAGGAUGUAUUUGAAUUAUUUUCUUAAAUAUUUUUAAAAGUCAUUGGGCUAUUUUUUUUUUUUAUUUCAGGUCUCUAGAUUGUAUAUACAAGCAUUCCUUUCUUAGGAUCAGAUAAUCAUACCAUCUUCUUGGGAGCUAUCCUCCCAGAAAAGAACUCUCUAAUGAACACUUACUAUGAGGAGUCUUCAGAAAGUUCAGAGAGAGUGGUUGUUAUGGGAUGGACAUUUGGCACAAAAGAAAUUAAAGUUGGCUGUGUAAUAUCUCCACGUACAUAAACUCCAGAAACUGCUCAUAAAAGAAAAGGAGUUUUUCAUCAUUUGGAAAGACAGACCACUUGUAUUUCUCCAACCUAAAGGAUAAAAGGAAAUCUACCAACUCCCAAAGUAUAGUCUCUGUCUUUAUUUAUAGAUUUCUGGAAAUUUUCUUAGCCAAAAUUGAAGUAAAUUAUUUUGAAAGGAAUGGAAGGUGUUGGGCCAUCAUGGAGAGCAAAUCAUCUAAUAAUCAGUUUACUGUUUCCAAAAAGCUGUUUUGGGUAAGAACUUGCCAGCUUUCCGAGAGGUUGCCUGCCUGGAUAGUACAAAGGGAUAAUUGUCAGAAGGCAAGUAUAUCGAUGUUUACCACAAAAUCUCCAGGAGAAACUUUUCCUUAUUUCUUUGUCUAAAAACAAUUCUUUAUUUUGAUACCACAUAGUUUUUAUUUCUACCACCCAGAUACACUGGUGACUCGUUUCCUUAUAUUAUUGUUAUUACACAGAUAGAGAACUUGUUUCCAUCUCAAGCUCCAAAUGCUUUGUUGUACAACUAUGUCAUAUUUCCACUGCAUGUGUCAAAAGGCCUACUGGGGGUCUAACGUGGAACUGUGUCUUUGGUUGCCACCUAAAUAAUAAUUCUUUAAAUUAAAUUGACUGUUUUGCAUGGGUAACAAUAAGAAUUUGUUUAGUUCAAUAAAAAAUGUUUGAACUGACUUUGUUUUUCUUCA